Non-coding RNA from Danio rerio (zebrafish), 509 nucleotides. The record is from Ensembl. Lineage: Eukaryota; Metazoa; Chordata; Actinopteri; Cypriniformes; Danionidae.
CACAACACUGAGAUGAAGGCGAAGUCACCAUGAAAAGUUAAACGUUUACCGUUAAGCUCAGAUUGUGAUGAACCUGGAAUGUGACACCAGUUACUCUUAAGACAAGAACCGAAUAAAGCACAGAUGUGGAGGGAUUUGCAGCCAAACUUACUGGAGGGAAGGAACCUUUAGUGUGGGUGAACAUACUCCCUGGAUGUCCAACAAAGGCUGCACAAGAGCUCAUUUGAUAGCACACAUUCUGUCCUGUCUACAUCUCUAAUGACCUGGAAGUGCUUCGACAUCAGAUCAUCAGAAGUGCUGCUGCCCUUUUUCACUGUCCCUUUCCACAUCAUUUGGCCUUCAUCAUGUCUUGUAGCAGUAUUUUCACCUGUUUUUAAAAUUGUAAUAAUUUUUGAUGUAUUAAUUGUUGACUGGUUUUAAUGAUCAAUUGUUUAUUAGUGUUCUGUUGCUUUAUAUUGAAUAAUUGCUACUGUUUUAGCAUGGUUUACACAAUAAACCUUUAUUGUGAA